Molecule: ribosomal RNA, 252 nt
Filed under: uncultured bacterium
Lineage: Bacteria
Description: partial 16S ribosomal RNA
Rfam family: Bacterial small subunit ribosomal RNA
Source: RNAcentral
UACGUAGGUCCCGAGCGUUGUCCGGAUUUAUUGGGCGUAAAGCGAGCGCAGGUGGUUUAUUAAGUCUGGUGUAAAAGGCAGUGGCUCAACCAUUGUAUGCAUUGGAAACUAGUAGACUUGAGUGCAGGAGAGGAGAGUGGAAUUCCAUGUGUAGCGGUGAAAUGCGUAGAUAUAUGGAGGAACACCGGUGGCGAAAGCGGCUCUCUGGCCUGUAACUGACACUGAAGCUCGAAAGCGUGGGGAGCAAACAGG